Non-coding RNA from Chrysemys picta bellii (western painted turtle), 194 nucleotides. Lineage: Eukaryota; Metazoa; Chordata; Testudines; Emydidae. The record is from RefSeq and is a predicted model, not a curated record.
CCCCGAGUACCUGGCCCCCGAGGUCAUCGCCCGCCAGCGGUAUGGGCGCCCCGUGGACUGCUGGGCCGUGGGGGUCAUCCUCUUCAUCCUGCUGUCGGGGAACCCCCCGUUCUACGCCGAGGUGGAGCAGGACUCUGGUCGGGGGCAGGACCGGCAGCUCUUCCGUCAGAUCCUAGCCGGGGAAUACAGCUUCG